Molecule: ribosomal RNA, 253 nt
Filed under: uncultured bacterium
Lineage: Bacteria
Description: partial 16S ribosomal RNA
Rfam family: Bacterial small subunit ribosomal RNA
Source: RNAcentral
GACAGAGGGUGCAAACGUUGUUCGGAAUUACUGGGCGUAAAGCGCGUGUAGGCUGCUUCGCAAGUCGGGUGUGAAAGCCCUGGGCUCAACCUAGGAAGUGCACUCGAAACUGCGAAGCUUGAGUCCUGGAGAGGAAGGCGGAAUUCUCGGUGUAGAGGUGAAAUUCGUAGAUAUCGAGAGGAACACCGGUGGCGAAGGCGGCCUUCUGGACAGUGACUGGCGCUGAGACGCGAAAGCGUGGGGAGCAAACAGG